Molecule: long non-coding RNA, 1228 nt
Filed under: Olea europaea subsp. europaea
Lineage: Eukaryota; Viridiplantae; Streptophyta; Magnoliopsida; Lamiales; Oleaceae
Source: RNAcentral
CUUAAACCCUAAAGUAAAAGAAGUGGCUAUUUCUCAUUUCUCAACAGCCCAAGGGAACGAUGAAGUAGCAACCGAGAAGAAGAAAUUGAAAGGCAUUUUCAAAUUUCAACAACAACCAAUGAUCACUACUUGAGGAAAUAUUCAAGGAGCGAGGAAGAUUAGGCCAAAAUUCCCAUUUUUUGAAGGUAAAAACUGGAAAUGUUAGUUUGAAAUCUGUCUUAGUUUGAUAAUUUUGUUUCUAAGACUGCUACUUUUAAUCUUUCUCAUUUUUGAUGCAAUUGCAUUCACACGUGGAAAAUAUUUUAAAUCUAAUUCAUACGUGAACAAAUUGUUUGGCAGAUGUUAUCCACAUCGCUAUUAUUGUCGUUACCCACUUGACACUUCAUGCUUACAGAAUUCACUAGAAUUUUUUUGAAAUUAUCAAAACUUUUCACAAAUUUGUCCUCCAUAUUUGAAGUUAAAUUUCUAGCCCAUUGGUUUAUAGUCACCACCUAAUCGACCUUUACAGGUGAAGUCACCAAUUGCAUUUGAUUUUGAAAGUCUUGGUGGAUAUAGUGAAAUUUUAUAAAUGAUAGGAUCUGUUUUCUUGCAGACAGAGCUCUAUAUAUGUUUAGCUCGCGAUGAGCUUCCUAUUUUCCCGUCGGUAUCACUAUGCAGUAUAUCCUCAAUCAAUUGAAUAAAAACAAUUAUUCACCAAAAAUCUUUUACAAUAGAAAUGCAAUAUAUUAUAAUUUAUACUCGACUAUCAAAUGUGCAUUUUUAAGCUAAACAUUUUUUCUUAAAGGUGAAAUAACAUUAUUAUUACUGGUUGAAUGAUUCUCUAUUCAAAAUUCAAAUUUUAUUAACUUUGAACUUUAUUGGUAUGCUUUUUCCCUCUUUCAAUUUAUUGCUAGAAUUUGGUCUAAUUCUGAGCAUUAUGUUUGCCAUUUUUAGUUGCUACUACUUUGUAUCAUAGUGUGAUAUAUUUUUUGAAUUGAGAAAAAAUCAUAUCAUAGUUUGAAUUUGUAUUAGCUUUCGAUUGUCAGUUGAAUAUGCAAAAAAAUGACUUUCUUUUUCUGUACUCGACUAUGCCUUGAGUGCUUGUAUAAGUUUGGUGAAAAUGGAAAGCUCUAUGUCAUUUUUGACUCCCGCUUUUAUAUCUUAUUUAUCUCAUUCACUGGAAUUUUAAGCUCUUUGUUAUUUAGCAAGUUAAAAUCUUGACUUUACCAAAGCGGUUGGUGUUAGCAUG